AGUGAACGCUGGCGGUAGGCCUAACACAUGCAAGUCGAACGGCAGCACAGUAAGAGCUUGCUCUUACGGGUGGCGAGUGGCGGACGGGUGAGGAAUACAUCGGAAUCUACUUUUUCGUGGGGGAUAACGUAGGGAAACUUACGCUAAUACCGCAUACGACCUACGGGUGAAAGCAGGGGAUCUUCGGACCUUGCGCGAUUGAAUGAGCCGAUGUCGGAUUAGCUAGUUGGCGGGGUAAAGGCCCACCAAGGCGACGAUCCGUAGCUGGUCUGAGGGGAUGAUCAGCCACACUGGAACUGAGACACGGUCCAGACUCCUACGGGAGGCAGCAGUGGGGAAUAUUGGACAAUGGGCGCAAGCCUGAUCCAGCCAUACCGCGUGGGUGAAGAAGGCCUUCGGGUUGUAAAGCCCUUUUGUUGGGAAAGAAAAGCAGAAGGUUAAUACCCCGCCGUUCUGACGGUACCCAAAGAAUAAGCACCGGCUAACUUCGUG
RNAcentral lists this ribosomal RNA (492 nucleotides) under uncultured bacterium. Its description in RNAcentral is "partial 16S ribosomal RNA". It matches the Rfam family "Bacterial small subunit ribosomal RNA", at positions 29 to 507 of the family's 1533-position model. The record is from RNAcentral.